UGAAAGCAUCUAAGCUUGAAACCCGACCUAAAACGAGACUCCGUUGAGAGCACGGAUAGAAGAUCCGUUUGAUAGACUUGGGAUGUAAG
Molecule: ribosomal RNA, 89 nt
Filed under: Methanoregulaceae archaeon
Lineage: Archaea; Methanobacteriati; Methanobacteriota; Methanomicrobia; Methanomicrobiales; Methanoregulaceae
Description: partial 23S ribosomal RNA
Rfam family: Archaeal large subunit ribosomal RNA
Source: RNAcentral